RNAcentral lists this ribosomal RNA (496 nucleotides) under uncultured bacterium. RNAcentral's name for it is "partial 16S ribosomal RNA". It matches the Rfam family "Bacterial small subunit ribosomal RNA", at positions 30 to 523 of the family's 1533-position model. The record is from RNAcentral.
AUUGAACGCUGGCGGAAUGCUUUACACAUGCAAGUCGAACGGUAGAGGGGGCAACCCCUCGAGAGUGGCGAACGGGUGAGUAAUAUAUCGGAACGUGCCCAGUCGUGGGGGUUAACGUAGCGAAAGUUACGCUAAUACCGCAUACGAUCUAAGGAUGAAAGCGGGGGAUCGCAAGACCUCGCGCGAUUGGAGCGGCCGAUAUCAGAUUAGGUAGUUGGUGGGGUAAAGGCUCACCAAGCCAACGAUCUGUAGCUGGUCUGAGAGGACGACCAGCCGCACUGGAACUGAGACACGGUCCAGACUCCUACGGGAGGCAGCAGUGGGGAAUUUUGGACAAUGGACGCAAGUCUGAUCCAGCCAUUCCGCGUGCAGGAUGAAGGCCCUCGGGUUGUAAACUGCUUUUGUACGGAACGAAAAGGUCUCUCUUAAUACGGGGGGCUCAUGACGGUACCGUAAGAAUAAGCACCGGCUAACUACGUGCCAGCAGCCGCCGUAA